GGUGGUUACAGCAGGCACACCUUGCAGAACCUACCAAGGAGAGCCUCUAGACCCACCGCAUAUCAAUCACCUGGGCACCCGAUACGGGCCAGCAGCUAUCGACCUGCUGAGCACUGUAACUGAAGCAUCGGGGAACACCUUCUGCGCUGUGACGCGGCACUCGGGCCGGGGGGCGUGCUGCGGGCUGACUCCAUCUGGGUUGGGUUCUGUCAUUAGGUGGAAGCUACGACAUGCAAUUACACGACAUCACACUAUGCUUGUUUCUGUUUGCCGGUAGACGCAAGUGCGCAGCACGCGGUGGUUACAGCAGGCACACCUUGCAGAACCUACCAAGGAGAGCCUCUAGACCCACCGCAUAUCAACCACCUGGGCACCCGAUACGGGCCAGCAGCUAUCGACCUGCUGAGCACUGUAACUGAAGCAUCGGGGAACACUCCACACCUUUUUCACUUCGCAACCUCCGCAACCCUCCAGCCCACAUGAAACCUGCUGCUAACCCCCUCCCCCCUCAUCACCUAUCCACCUUCCGCUACCCC
Molecule: long non-coding RNA, 536 nt
Filed under: Chlamydomonas reinhardtii
Lineage: Eukaryota; Viridiplantae; Chlorophyta; Chlorophyceae; Chlamydomonadales; Chlamydomonadaceae
Description: long non-coding RNA (CREI_LNC001086)
Source: RNAcentral